Molecule: ribosomal RNA, 373 nt
Filed under: uncultured organism
Description: bacterial SSU rRNA
Rfam family: Bacterial small subunit ribosomal RNA
Source: RNAcentral
CAGAGGUCCCAAGCGUUGUUCGGAUUCACUGGGCGUAAAGGGUGCGUAGGUGGCCGGGUAAGUCUGAUGUGAAAUCUCCGAGCUUAACUCGGAAAUGGCAUUGGAUACUCUCCGGCUAGAGGAUUGGAGGGGAGACUGGAAUUCUCGGUGUAGCAGUGAAAUGCGUAGAUAUCGAGAGGAACACCAGUGGCGAAGGCGAGUCUCUAGACAAUUCCUGACACUGAGGCACGAAAGCUAGGGGAGCAAACAGGAUUAGAUACCCUGGUAGUCCUAGCCGUAAACGGUGCAUAUUUGCUGUAAAAGGAAUCGACCCCUUUUGUGGCGUAGCUAACGCGUUAAAUAUGCCGCCUGGGAAGUACGGUCGCAAGAUUAA